This 601-nucleotide long non-coding RNA is filed under the name Monodelphis domestica (gray short-tailed opossum). RNAcentral's name for it is "lncRNA (ENSMODG00000034782.2)". Lineage: Eukaryota; Metazoa; Chordata; Mammalia; Didelphimorphia; Didelphidae. The record is from RNAcentral.
CAGGAAGUGAAUAUUGUCUGUUUUCUGUUUAGCUCCUCAGCCUGCUUUUUAUGAGGCCAUGAUAUUAAUGGCACUUGGAAUGCAUUGUUUGUCUCCAUGUUCACUUAAAUGUCAUCUUUGCUUGCAUCCCAGCUGCUCAGAUUCCAACUUGUUUCUUCUUCCUCUGACCCUCACCGAAUGAUGUGAAAAGAAAAACUGAAGCAAGUUUUGGACUUUCUGCAAAUCAGUGGGCACGAUGAGUUCCUGGCCAGCUCCUACACGGAUUAGCAGAGAGACCACAAAGCUGGAGAGAGGAGUGUCUUCUUCACGAGACCAUCAGUGAAACUUCUUCCUGCUAGGAUUUUCCUGGUUGUUUCUUUCCCUCAUUAUCAGGGACGCACUCCAGGGUAUCUCCUUAAAUUUCCAGAUUUCUUUUGUUUAAAUUAAAGCGUGCCCUCAAUGGAAGCCUCAUGGUGUGGUGUAAUUGGACAGUUUGAAUCUUUGGAGAAAUCCAUUUCAUCUCAAAAUUGUUUCAGAAGACUAAGAUGGUAUUCUUUGUAGCGAGUUCCUAUUGGCAGUAUUGUCAUAUUAUCAGUAAUAUUAACCUUUUAGUUCUAGUACU